UACGUAGGGUGCAAGCGUUGUCCGGAAUUAUUGGGCGUAAAGAGCUCGUAGGCGGUCUGUCGCGUCUGCUGUGAAAACUCAGGGCUUAACCCUGAGCUUGCAGUGGGUACGGGCAGACUAGAGUGCGGUAGGGGAGACUGGAAUUCCUGGUGUAGCGGUGAAAUGCGCAGAUAUCAGGAGGAACACCGGUGGCGAAGGCGGGUCUCUGGGCCGAUACUGACGCUGAGGAGCGAAAGCGUGGGGAGCAAGCAGG
RNAcentral lists this ribosomal RNA (253 nucleotides) under uncultured bacterium. RNAcentral's name for it is "partial 16S ribosomal RNA". It matches the Rfam family "Bacterial small subunit ribosomal RNA", at positions 524 to 776 of the family's 1533-position model. The record is from RNAcentral.